This 447-nucleotide ribosomal RNA is filed under the name uncultured bacterium. RNAcentral describes it as "bacterial SSU rRNA". It matches the Rfam family "Bacterial small subunit ribosomal RNA", at positions 329 to 793 of the family's 1533-position model. The record is from RNAcentral.
GCCCAGACUCCUACGGGAGGCAGCAGUGGGGAAUAUUGCACAAUGGGGGAAACCCUGAUGCAGCGACGCCGCGUGAGCGAUGAAGUAUUUCGGUAUGUAAAGCUCUAUCAGCAGGGAAGAAAAUGACGGUACCUGACUAAGAAGCCCCGGCUAACUACGUGCCAGCAGCCGCGGUAAUACGUAGGGGGCAAGCGUUAUCCGGAUUUACUGGGUGUAAAGGGAGCGUAGACGGCAGUGCAAGUCCGGAGUGAAAGCCCGGGGCUCAACCCUGGGACUGCUCUGGAAACUGUAAAGCUGGAGUGCGGGAGGGGCAGGCGGAAUUCCUGGUGUAGCGGUGAAAUGCGUAGAUAUCAGGAGGAACACCGGCGGCGAAGGCGGCCUGCUGGACCGUAACUGACGUUGAGGCUCGAAAGCGUGGGGAGCAAACAGGAUUAGAUACCCGGGUAU